RNA transcript from Myxocyprinus asiaticus (Chinese sucker), 1783 nucleotides. It is a transcript of the gene named phospholipid-transporting ATPase IK-like, with no coding region annotated. The transcript has 14 exons. The record is from RefSeq and is a predicted model, not a curated record. Lineage: Eukaryota; Metazoa; Chordata; Actinopteri; Cypriniformes; Catostomidae.
AACACAAGACAGAGAGAUAAACAGAAGAGCAGAGGGGACAUGAUCCAGCAAAUGUGCUAACAUAGAGACUCAGGCGGUUCUUGGAAGUGUAGAGCACCUGAUCACACGGAUAGAGCAAACUGUGAUUUACCUGGAUGAGACGCAGGGAAGAAGAGUGCAGAAAAUGACCCCACUGGGAUCUUCUAUCAAGGAACAAUAAGUAGUAAGCAGGACAGCAUGUACACGAGCUGGCAUGGACUCCACAAGUUUGUGCAAAACCUGAUGAUCGCAGACAAGAAAAACUCAAGAUUAAGCAAGUGGACAGGGUGGAGCAGAAACUCUAUAUGAGCUGAAGAGUAUGUUGGGAGGUGCGGGCCACAGUCGUCAUUUUCAUGAGUCAUCGUGCUGCAAAUCCUUCCUAUGUAUCCGCUGGGGGGGCUAUGCUGACAACAUGGUGCAGAGCAACAAAUACAACCCCCUGACCUUUCUGCCCUUGAAACUGUAUGAAUAAUUCCAGCGAGCAGCAAACCUUUUCUUCUUGCUUAUUGUGGUCUUGCAGAGUUUAUGGUGGCUGCUUGGAUUCAAGAUGAAUGUGGUUUGAGGCACCGGUGUACACAUGGAUACAGGACAUAUUAUCAGAGCGAAUGGACAAAUAAAUAACGAAAGAUAGGACAAGACAGACAUCUGAAAACGUCAUCUGAGCAGGAGCGGUGGCACAGUGAUGCACAAAUUAACAAGCGGACAAGUAAUAUUCUCACUCCCGAUGGACCUGCUCCUCCUAUGCAGCACUGAGCCACAUAGUCUUUGCUAUGUAGAAACCACAGACAUUGAUGGAGAAACCAACCUGAAGUUCCGUCAGGCUCUUGCUGUCACUCAUACGGAGUUGAAUGGAGAACAAACUGAGAAAAACCUCACAGCUUUUGAUGAUGUUGUGUGGUGUGAGGAGCCAAAUGGUAACCUGCACUCCUUCAGAGGUGAAUUACACUGGAAAGGAGAGCGCCACCUGCUGGACACAGACCACCUGCUGCUCAGAGGAACUGUACUGAGAAACACAGACACAGCCUAUGGGCUGGCUUUAUACACUGCGUGGCUCCUCUGCUGCCUACCUGGGCUUCCUCACCUUCUGGGGCUACGUCAUUUUGCUCAGCCCUGCUACAGUAUGCCUAUGUCUCUUUAUAUAAUAUUUGAGGUGAUCCACAUGGUGCACUGCCUCCUGAUUGGCUGGGAUGUAGAGAUGUACUGGGAGGACAAUGAUAGCCCCACUCAAGCUCGUACUACCACCCUGAAUGAAGAACUGGGUCAGGUGGGCCACUUGCUCAGCGACAAAUCCGGCACUCUCACGCAAAACCGCCUUGUUUUUCAUCAGUGCUACAUUCCCGGCCAUAUUUACGGUGAAAUGGCAAAGGAAUUCAAGGUAAGAAUUUAUGCCAUAUUAAUGCAAAGCAUACUUUCCCAUUUGAAUCUACUGACCCAACCAAAAUGGACACAUUUCACUUUUUGUUUUCUACAAGCCACUAGACUUGAGCUGGAACUGGCUUUCAUGUGGUGGGUUGAAGUUUUCUUACCAGCGUCUGGUGGAGGAGCUGCAUGGACGGAGCAGCCCUGAGUGUCAAGGGUUCUUCGAUGCUCUGGCCCUCUGCCACAUUGUUAUGAGUGAGUGGAAGGAUAUAUCAGGCUGCCUCUCCAGAUGAGGAUGCUCUGGUGUGUGCAGUGCAGGAACUGGGCUGGGUGUUCCUCUCCCGCACAUGAGACACUCUCACCAUCAGUGACUUGGGCAUCACACGCAACUAUCAGAUCCUCGCCC